GACGAACGCCGGCGGCGUGCCUAAUACAUGCAAGUAGAACGCUGAAGCUUGGUGCUUGCACCGAGCGGAUGAGUUGCGAACGGGUGAGUAACGCGUAGGUAACCUGCCUGGUAGCGGGGGAUAACUAUUGGAAACGAUAGCUAAUACCGCAUAAUAGCAGUUGUUGCAUGACAACUGUUUAAAAGGUGCAAUUGCAUCACUACCAGAUGGACCUGCGUUGUAUUAGCUAGUUGGUGGGGUAACGGCUCACCAAGGCGACGAUACAUAGCCGACCUGAGAGGGUGAUCGGCCACACUGGGACUGAGACACGGCCCAGACUCCUACGGGAGGCAGCAGUAGGGAAUCUUCGGCAAUGGACGGAAGUCUGACCGAGCAACGCCGCGUGAGUGAAGAAGGUUUUCGGAUCGUAAAGCUCUGUUGUAAGAGAAGAAACGAGUGUGAGAAGUGGAAAG
This 452-nucleotide ribosomal RNA is filed under the name Streptococcus sp. oral taxon E98. RNAcentral's name for it is "bacterial SSU rRNA". It matches the Rfam family "Bacterial small subunit ribosomal RNA", at positions 28 to 471 of the family's 1533-position model. The record is from RNAcentral. Lineage: Bacteria; Bacillati; Bacillota; Bacilli; Lactobacillales; Streptococcaceae.